Molecule: ribosomal RNA, 497 nt
Filed under: uncultured bacterium
Lineage: Bacteria
Description: partial 16S ribosomal RNA
Rfam family: Bacterial small subunit ribosomal RNA
Source: RNAcentral
GAUGAACGCUGGCGGCGUGCCUAAUACAUGCAAGUCGAGCGAACAGAUAAGGAGCUUGCUCCUUUGAAGUUAGCGGCGGACGGGUGAGUAACACGUGGGUAACCUACCUAUAAGACUGGGAUAACUUCGGGAAACCGGAGCUAAUACCGGAUAACAUUUAGAACCGCAUGGUUCUAAAGUGAAAGAUGGUUUUGCUAUCACUUAUAGAUGGACCCGCGCCGUAUUAGCUAGUUGGUAAGGUAACGGCUUACCAAGGCGACGAUACGUAGCCGACCUGAGAGGGUGAUCGGCCACACUGGAACUGAGACACGGUCCAGACUCCUACGGGAGGCAGCAGUAGGGAAUCUUCCGCAAUGGGCGAAAGCCUGACGGAGCAACGCCGCGUGAGUGAUGAAGGGUUUCGGCUCGUAAAACUCUGUUAUUAGGGAAGAACAAAUGUGUAAGUAACUGUGCACAUCUUGACGGUACCUAAUCAGAAAGCCACGGCUAACUACGAG